GGUAUUGAUUGGUGCUUGCAUCAUGAUUUACAUUUGAGUGAGUGGCGAACUGGUGAGUAACACGUGGGAAACCUGCCCAGAAGCGGGGGAUAACACCUGGAAACAGAUGCUAAUACCGCAUAACAACUUGGACCGCAUGGUCCGAGUUUGAAAGAUGGCUUCGGCUAUCACUUUUGGAUGGUCCCGCGGCGUAUUAGCUAGAUGGUGGGGUAACGGCUCACCAUGGCAAUGAUACGUAGCCGACCUGAGAGGGUAAUCGGCCACAUUGGGACUGAGACACGGCCCAAACUCCUACGGGAGGCAGCAGUAGGGAAUCUUCCACAAUGGACGAAAGUCUGAUGGAGCAACGCCGCGUGAGUGAAGAAGGGUUUCGGCUCGUAAAACUCUGUUGUUAAAGAAGAACAUAUCUGAGAGUAACUGUUCAGGUAUUGACGGUAUUUAACCAGAAAGCCACGGCUAACUACGUGCCAGCAGCCGCGGUAAUACGUAGGUGGCAAGCGUUGUCCGGAUUUAUUGGGCGUAAAGCGAGCGCAGGCGGUUUUUUAAGUCUGAUGUGAAAGCCUUCGGCUCAACCGAAGAAGUGCAUCGGAAACUGGGAAACUUGAGUGCAGAAGAGGACAGUGGAACUCCAUGUGUAGCGGUGAAAUGCGUAGAUAUAUGGAAGAACACCAGUGGCGAAGGCGGCUGUCUGGUCUGUAACUGACGCUGAGGCUCGAAAGUAUGGGUAGCAAACAGGAUUAGAUACCCUGGUAGUCCAUACCGUAAACGAUGAAUGCUAAGUGUUGGAGGGUUUCCGCCCUUCAGUGCUGCAGCUAACGCAUUAAGCAUUCCGCCUGGGGAGUACGGCCGCAAGGCUGAAACUCAAAGGAAUUGACGGGGGCCCGCACAAGCGGUGGAGCAUGUGGUUUAAUUCGAAGCUACGCGAAGAACCUUACCAGGUCUUGACAUACUAUGCAAAUCUAAGAGAUUAGACGUUCCCUUCGGGGACAUGGAUACAGGUGGUGCAUGGUUGUCGUCAGCUCGUGUCGUGAGAUGUUGGGUUAAGUCCCGCAACGAGCGCAACCCUUAUUAUCAGUUGCCAGCAUUAAGUUGGGCACUCUGGUGAGACUGCCGGUGACAAACCGGAGGAAGGUGGGGAUGACGUCAAAUCAUCAUGCCCCUUAUGACCUGGGCUACACACGUGCUACAAUGGAUGGUACAACGAGUUGCGAACUCGCGAGAGUAAGCUAAUCUCUUAAAGCCAUUCUCAGUUCGGAUUGUAGGCUGCAACUCGCCUACAUGAAGUCGGAAUCGCUAGUAAUCGCGGAUCAGCAUGCCGCGGUGAAUACGUUCCCGGGCCUUGUACACACCGCCCGUCACACCAUGAGAGUUUGUAACACCCAAAGUCGGUGG
This 1392-nucleotide ribosomal RNA is filed under the name Lactiplantibacillus pentosus. RNAcentral describes it as "bacterial SSU rRNA". It matches the Rfam family "Bacterial small subunit ribosomal RNA", at positions 68 to 1433 of the family's 1533-position model. Lineage: Bacteria; Bacillati; Bacillota; Bacilli; Lactobacillales; Lactobacillaceae. The record is from RNAcentral. RNAcentral also lists the same sequence under 1 other name.